AGUGAACGCUGGCGAUAGGCCUAACACAUGCAAGUCGAACGGCAGCACAGUAAGAGCUUGCUCUUACGGGUGGCGAGUGGCGGACGGGUGAGGAAUACAUCGGAAUCUACUUUUUCGUGGGGGAUAACGUAGGGAAACUUACGCUAAUACCGCAUACGACCUACGGGUGAAAGCAGGGGAUCUUCGGACCUUGCGCGAUUGAAUGAGCCGAUGUCGGAUUAGCUAGUUGGCGGGGUAAAGGCCCACCAAGGCGACGAUCCGUAGCUGGUCUGAGAGGAUGAUCAGCCACACUGGAACUGAGACACGGUCCAGAAUCCUACGGGAGGCAGCAGUGGGGAAUAUUGGACAAAGGGCGCAAGCCUGAUCCAGCCAUACCGCGUGGGUGAAGAAGGCCUUCGGGUUGUAAAGCCCUUUUGUUGGGAAAGAAAAGCAGCAGGUUAAUACCCCGCUGUUCUGACGGUACCCAAAGAAUAAGCACCGGCUAACUUCGUG
Molecule: ribosomal RNA, 492 nt
Filed under: uncultured bacterium
Lineage: Bacteria
Description: partial 16S ribosomal RNA
Rfam family: Bacterial small subunit ribosomal RNA
Source: RNAcentral